RNAcentral lists this long non-coding RNA (1152 nucleotides) under Monodelphis domestica (gray short-tailed opossum). Its description in RNAcentral is "lncRNA (ENSMODG00000036802.1)". Lineage: Eukaryota; Metazoa; Chordata; Mammalia; Didelphimorphia; Didelphidae. The record is from RNAcentral.
AUGUUUAAGCAGGUUAUCUUUGGAGUUGUGGUUAUAGCAGUUAUUGCUUGUUUCUGGGUCUACAACGUACUCUACAGUAAAAUGACCCACAUAAUAUUUGACUCUAUUAACGAUAUAGGCAACACAACCAGGUCUAUAUUGCAUUUACCUUUUCAAAUUGAAUUAAUACUUCUGGCUCAACUUUAUGUGAUCUUUAUGGCUGUUUUACAGACUCUAACCUAUUUGAGAAAGAUUUUUAGAUUUGUGAUUCCCCUAAAGGCAGAAAAGAUACUGGUUAUUGAUAACAACUUGGAAAGCAUGAUUAAGAACUUGUUUAAGGAUUUGAUCAAGGAAAAAGGGCUUGAUAAUAUUAGAGAUAAAGACAAUGGACAGGCAGAUAGUGUACCUAAGGGAAAUGAAGGUGACAAUGACACCAAGCCUGACAAUGAACCAGAGAAUAUUUGUCCAUUGAAGGAGGUCACCAAGCUAUCCAGUACAACUGGUGUACUUCCAUCUAAAGUCCACAGACAAUUCACCUCACAGGAACUUGAAUCCCUAAAAAGACAUUUCCCAAAAUACAUAGAACAAUCUUUCAAAUCUCAAAAGGAACUGAAACGUGCUUUUAGGAUGUUUGACCCUGAUUUUGAGGAUGUUGAGUUUCUUCUCUCAGAACUGUUUAGCCCCCAUGAGCAAAGGCAAUUCCUAGAAAAGACCAGGAUUGAUAGUAACCUUACUAUUUGGCCCACUGUGGAGCAAAGGGAAGAUCUAGACUUUGCAAACCCCACUAGCAUGUCUUACUUAAGGAAAUACAGAGAAGACUUGCUCCAAGCAAUUAAACAGUGCUGUUCAAAGCCAAAUGCAUGGGCUAAGUUUGAUAAGAUCAAGCAGAACAAAGGGGAACAUCCUGCCACAUACAUUGAUUGUCUGUCAGAAAUGGCAGAAUCAAUAUUAGGUCUAGAGACAAAUACUGAGGAAUCUGCAAGUCAUGUCUGGAGGCAGUUUUUGAGGGGCUGCACACCUCAUUUAAAGAACUUCUUUAAGCACUAUUUCCCUAAGUAUGACACAGUCAAUCCCAUUGAACUUCACGAAACAGCCAGUUACUUGCAUGAUACAGAUGCAAGACUUAAGAGACAAAUUAGAAAUGACAGAGAAAAAUCUAAAAGAAAAGGAUAG